AGUGAACGCUGGCGGUAGGCCUAACACAUGCAAGUCGAACGGUAGUACAGUAAGAGCCUGCUCUUACGGGUGGCGAGUGGCGGACGGGUGAGGAAUACAUCGGAAUCUACUUUUUCGUGGGGGAUAACGUAGGGAAACUUACGCUAAUACCGCAUACGACCUACGGGUGAAAGCAGGGGAUCUUCGGACCUUUCGCGAUUGAAUGAGCCGAUGUCGGAUUAGCUAGUUGGCGGGGUAAAGGCCCACCAAGGCGACGAUCCGUAGCUGGUCUGAGAGGAUGAUCAGCCACACUGGAACUGAGACACGGUCCAGACUCCUACGGGAGGCAGCAGUGGGGAAUAUUGGACAAUGGGCGCAAGCCUGAUCCAGCCAUACCGCGUGGGUGAAGAAGGCCUUCGGGUUGUAAAGCCCUUUUGUUGGGAAAGAAAAGCAGCAGGUUAAUACCCCGCUGUUCUGACGGUACCCAAAGAAUAAGCACCGGCUAACUUCGUG
Molecule: ribosomal RNA, 492 nt
Filed under: uncultured bacterium
Lineage: Bacteria
Description: partial 16S ribosomal RNA
Rfam family: Bacterial small subunit ribosomal RNA
Source: RNAcentral